Molecule: ribosomal RNA, 460 nt
Filed under: uncultured bacterium
Lineage: Bacteria
Description: partial 16S ribosomal RNA
Rfam family: Bacterial small subunit ribosomal RNA
Source: RNAcentral
CCUACGGGAGGCUGCAGUGAGGAAUAUUGGUCAAUGGGCUUACGCCUGAACCAGCCAAGUCGCGUGAGGGAAGACUGCCCUAUGGGUUGUAAACCUCUUUUGUCAGGGAGCAAUUGGCGCUACGUGUAGCGUUAUCGAUAGUACCUGAAGAAAAAGCAUCGGCUAACUCCGUGCCAGCAGCCGCGGUAAUACGGAGGAUGCGAGCGUUAUCCGGAUUUAUUGGGUUUAAAGGGUGCGUAGGCGGAAUGCCAAGUCAGCGGUAAAAUCGCGGGGUUCAACCUCGCUCCGCCGUUGAAACUGGCGGUCUUGAGUGGGCGAGAAGUAUGCGGAAUGCGUGGUGUAGCGGUGAAAUGCAUAGAUAUCACGCAGAACUCCGAUUGCGAAGGCAGCAUACCGGCGCCCAACUGACGCUGAAGCACGAAAGCGUGGGUAUCGAACAGGAUUAGAUACCCUAGUAGUC